UACGUAGGGUGCAAGCGUUGUCCGGAAUUAUUGGGCGUAAAGAGCUCGUAGGCGGUCUGUCGCGUCGGCUGUGAAAACCCGGGGCUCAACCCCGGGCCUGCAGUCGAUACGGGCAGACUAGAGUGCGGUAGGGGGAGACUGGAAUUCCUGGUGUAGGCGGUGAAAUGCGCAGAUAUCAGGAGGAACACCGGUGGCGAAGGCGGGUCUCUGGGCCGUAACUGACGCUGAGGAGCGAAAGCGUGGGGAGCGAACAGG
This 255-nucleotide ribosomal RNA is filed under the name uncultured bacterium. RNAcentral's name for it is "partial 16S ribosomal RNA". It matches the Rfam family "Bacterial small subunit ribosomal RNA", at positions 524 to 776 of the family's 1533-position model. The record is from RNAcentral.